CACUUGCACUUUUCAUGCAUUUUUUCAAGAGCAAACUGAGAGAGCUAGAGAGGAGAACUUUUGACAGUUCUUGCCUCUUGAGUUUCCAGCCAUUCUUACACUCUUUUUACGCUAGGAUUAAGUAUUAUGCUACAUUUUAAAAAACUAAAAUGUUGCAGAUUAAAAAUGGAAUUUGAAAAGCUGCUGACUAGAAGCAAUUAUAAAAGUGAAAUGAAAGCAUGGGACCAGACCUCAAGCUGUUCAUGAAGACGCUUCUGAACCUCCAUUUGCAUCCUCAGUGCCUCAUUAAUUUGCAUUCCCCUAAAGGACGGGAAGAAUUUGUAGAUUGGUAGAAGUCAAGUUAAAAGAAAAUGAGAGGCAAAAAACUGUGCAUGUAAAAGUGUAUAGUUUUUGGAGGAGGACAAAGAUACCCACGGUGAAGAAUCUGUGGCAGAAAGGCUGUCUCCGGAACUUUUCUUCUCAUCAUUAAAACCUGAAGCUUAACGAAUCCUCAAAAUUAAGAUUCAUAGCCCAAUUUGCUGAAACACGAAGAAAAAGGAAAAAGGAGCACCUUUACCAUCACCAGGAGAUUCCGGAAGAUACUUUGCAAGGCGAUACUUCUACGAGUAGAAACACAAAGACAUUUUCCACUUAUUUCAGGUAUUCAAUAUAUGAAAAAAAUGACUAGUGAGAUUUCUGCACCUGUAAAUGACUUUUCACAUGAUAGAUGGUAAGUCCAGGUACACCCAUCACUCUCAGAACACCUUUCGGUGUAGCCCCUGAAACCAACAAAUAGAAAGAAAAACACAAGUGAAAGCUUUUAAUUAA
Molecule: long non-coding RNA, 807 nt
Organism: Juglans microcarpa x Juglans regia
Lineage: Eukaryota; Viridiplantae; Streptophyta; Magnoliopsida; Fagales; Juglandaceae
Exons: 3
Source: RefSeq, a predicted model, not a curated record